AAGACCUUGUGCUUUUGGAGCGGCCGAUGCCUGAUUAGCUAGUUGGUGAGGUAAAGGCUCACCAAGGCGACGAUCAGUAGCUGGUCUGAGAGGAUGAUCAGCCACACUGGAACUGAGACACGGUCCAGACUCCUACGGGAGGCAGCAGUGGGGAAUUUUGGACAAUGGGGGCAACCCUGAUCCAGCCAUUCCGCGUGAGUGAAGAAGGCCUUCGGGUUGUAAAGCUCUUUCAGCAGGGAAGAAACGGUUACGGCUAAUACCUGUGACUAAUGACGGUACCUGCAGAAGAAGCACCGGCUAACUACGUGCCAGCAGCCGCGGUAAUACGUAGGGUGCGAGCGUUAAUUGGAAUUACUGGGCGUAAAGCGUGCGCAGGCGGUUUUGUAAGUCAGAUGUGAAAGCCCCGGGCUCAACCUGGGAAUU
This 423-nucleotide ribosomal RNA is filed under the name uncultured bacterium. RNAcentral's name for it is "bacterial SSU rRNA". It matches the Rfam family "Bacterial small subunit ribosomal RNA", at positions 202 to 622 of the family's 1533-position model. The record is from RNAcentral.